Molecule: non-coding RNA, 1837 nt
Organism: Parasteatoda tepidariorum (common house spider)
Lineage: Eukaryota; Metazoa; Arthropoda; Arachnida; Araneae; Theridiidae
Source: RefSeq, a predicted model, not a curated record
GCAGAUGGCCUCAGACUUUGUAUAGGGGGGAGUUCUUACCAUACUAUAACUAUAUUUAAGAUUAAACUAUAUUUAAGUACAACUAUAUUUAAGAUUAAUAUUUCAAAUGUACUGAAGAAGUCUCAUUAAAGCAUAGAAAUUUCACUGAAGUUAAUUUAGCUAUAAAUUUUUAUAGCGUAAGGAUCAAGGGGAUUGUAUAUUUACAUCACUCAUUUUUUUGCACUUUUUAAAUCAGUUUUUUCUAACUAAUGCAUAACUCAGAAAUCUUUUGAAGAAAUUAAUGUAAAAUUGGAUAAAAUGAUCAUGACUGCAAAUUUGUAUGUAUAUCUUUCGCUGUCACCCAGCAGAAGUUAUUGUUCUAUUAACCACCAAUUAUUGUUCUUUCACAAGUACGCAAUUUAUUCCAAGACCUAAACAACAAAAACAUAUUUUUAUGGGGAAAAAAUCUUCACACUAAUUAGAUUCUGAUAUGGAUAGUAAUUGAAAAGUCACAUACAUACCUUAAAAUUUUAUUUCUGAAGGAUAAAAAGUAAAUUUUCUAUUAUUAGCUGCAAUUAUAAUGUUGUUUAGGUGUUUCCAAAUUGGCAAACUUUUCCUCACUAGAGUAAAGGUAUGUAUGCUGACAAACUCCCUAAUGCUUUUUACCUUGAAAUUAAGUAGUGAUCUUACUGCAUGUAGUUAUUUCUUUUUAUGGAUUUUAUAUUAUUUUCUGCAAUAAUUAGAUCGUAAAACAAUGUAAUUUCAAUAAAUUUAAAAAAAAACUACCUGCAAAAGAGAAAAGAAAUUAAAUAGUGGUUGUAGCUUGUAAGACAAUGAGUUGAUGUAAUCUCAGUUAAUUUUACAUGUAUUAUGUUCAGUUCAUAUUGGAAUUUAUUGUAAAAUGCAUUGCUGAAUAAAAACAAUAAAAUGUAUUGUUUUUAAUAAAAACAGAUGAGAAGCCUGCAGUUUAUUUGAUGUUAUUAUUUUACAAAGACAACUGACUUCUCAUCUGCUUUCAUUAAAACAUCUACAAGAAAUUCUUCCCACACAUUUUAAGAUAAAUGUUGCAUAGAAUGAACAUUAUAUCUGGAAAAUUAACUGAGACUAUAUCUCCAUAGUUACGUCCAAUAACUCAUUUCUAAAUUUUUCUAUCAGAAUCAUAGAAUUUUUUUAAAUUACUUUAUUUCAUACUUUUUUGUGUUGGAAUUCAUUAAGUCUGACAAAAAAAUUGGAGCCUUAUAUAUUUUUUCCUGAUAUUUUCUCCUCUUUGUAAAUUUUGUUGGUUUGACUUUAAACCACAAUUAGAGGUUACAAUAUUUGCAUCGCGUAUGUCUAGGGAGAAAAAGCUUUUAUAGACCUGUUUAUCUAGUCUGUUAUUAACAGGGUAGAUAGAUAGAAAGCCAGUUCCCUAUUGCAGAUGGACAACUACCUGUUAAAGAAAUGUGAGAAGAAAAAAAGAACUGAAGAUAUCUAAUUUUAGCUGCAGCAAAAUUAUCAUUCAGAGAUAGAUAGAAAGCCAGUUCAAUAUUGCUGAUGGACAACUAACUGUGAAAGAAAUGAUGUGAGAAAAAAAAAGAACUGAAGAUAUUUAAUUUUAGCUGCAGCAAAAUUAUCAUUCAGAGCUAGUUUCAAAACCACCACCCACAAUGAAGCUUACAGGUAGAUUUUUCUAAACUGUUGCAUGCUUUGAUCUUUGAUUGAUAAACUUUAAGAAAUGGUGUAGUAAGGAAAUACACAGGGGUAAGAGUUUUGUACUCAGUAUGUGUUUGAAGCCUGGCAUUAACAAGCUCUACUACACAAAAAGGAUCACUUUUUCCACACAAAUCUGCAGCUGCCAGCCCUUGUGCUUUGAACACUG